Molecule: ribosomal RNA, 501 nt
Filed under: uncultured bacterium
Lineage: Bacteria
Description: partial 16S ribosomal RNA
Rfam family: Bacterial small subunit ribosomal RNA
Source: RNAcentral
AUUGAACGCUGGCGGCAGGCUUAACACAUGCAAGUCGAGCGGAGCGAGGGUGCUUGCACCUUAGCUUAGCGGCGGACGGGUGAGUAAUGCUUAGGAAUCUGCCUAUUAGUGGGGGACAACAUUCCGAAAGGAAUGCUAAUACCGCAUACGCCCUACGGGGGAAAGCAGGGGAUCUUCGGACCUUGCGCUAAUAGAUGAGCCUAAGUCGGAUUAGCUGGUUGGUGGGGUAAAGGCCUACCAAGGCGACGAUCUGUAGCGGGUCUGAGAGGAUGAUCCGCCACACUGGGACUGAGACACGGCCCAGACUCCUACGGGAGGCAGCAGUGGGGAAUAUUGGACAAUGGGCGGAAGCCUGAUCCAGCCAUGCCGCGUGUGUGAAGAAGGCCUUUUGGUUGUAAAGCACUUCAAGCGAGGAGGAGGCUACUUAGAUUAAUACUCUAGGAUAGUGGACGUUACUCGCAGAAUAAGCACCGGCUAACUCUGUGCCAGCAGCCGCAGUAA